GAUGAAGAACGUAGCGAAAUGCGAUAAGUAAUGUGAAUUGCAGAAUUCAGUGAAUCAUCGAAUCUUUGAACGCACAUUGCGCCCCCUGGUAUUCCGGGGGGCAUGCCUGUUCGAGCGUCAUUUCACCACUCAAGCCUCGCUUGGUAUUGGGCAACGCGGUCCGCCGCGUGCCUCAAAUCGACCGGCUGGGUCUUCUGUCCCCUAAGCGUUGUGGAAACUAUUCGCUAAAGGGUGUUCGGGAGGCUACGCCGUAGAACAACCCCAUUUCUAAGGUUGACCUCGGAUCAGGUAGGAAUACCCGCUGAACUUAAGCAUAUCAAUAAGCGGAGGA
Molecule: unclassified non-coding RNA, 331 nt
Filed under: soil metagenome
Description: partial contains 5.8S ribosomal RNA, internal transcribed spacer 2, and large subunit ribosomal RNA
Rfam family: 5.8S ribosomal RNA (bases 1-120)
Source: RNAcentral